This 516-nucleotide ribosomal RNA is filed under the name Pseudogymnoascus pannorum. RNAcentral's name for it is "eukaryotic LSU rRNA". It matches the Rfam family "Eukaryotic large subunit ribosomal RNA", at positions 89 to 611 of the family's 3401-position model. Lineage: Eukaryota; Fungi; Ascomycota; Leotiomycetes; Thelebolales; Thelebolaceae. The record is from RNAcentral.
GCGAGUGAAGCGGUAACAGCUCAAAUUUGAAAUCUGGCCUCACGGUCCGAGUUGUAAUUUGUAGAGGAUGCUUCGAGCAUGGUCUGGCCUAAGUUCCUUGGAACAGGACGUCAUAGAGGGUGAGAAUCCCGUAUGCGGCCAGGUGCCUACGCUCAUGUGAAGCUCCUUCGACGAGUCGAGUUGUUUGGGAAUGCAGCUCAAAAUGGGUGGUAAAUUUCAUCUAAAGCUAAAUAUUGGCCAGAGACCGAUAGCGCACAAGUAGAGUGAUCGAAAGAUGAAAAGCACUUUGGAAAGAGAGUUAAACAGUACGUGAAAUUGUUGAAAGGGAAGCGCUUGCAACCAGACUUGCGCGCGGCCGAUCAUCCGGUGUUCUCACCGGUGCACUCGGCCGUGCUCAGGCCAGCAUCGGUUUUGGCGGCUGGAUAAAGGCCCUAGGAAUGUAGCUCCUCUCGGGGAGUGUUAUAGCCUAGGGUGCAAUGCAGCCUGCUGGGACCGAGGACCGCGCUUCGGCUAGGA